GCUCAGUAACACGUGGAGAACGUGCCCUUAGGCGGAGGAUAAUCUCGGGAAAUUGAGGAUAAUACUCCAUAGGUCACGGGGUCUGGAACGACCCGUGGCCGAAAGCCCCGGCGCCUAAGGAUCGCUCUGCGGCUUAUCAGGUCGUAGUGGGUGUAACGUACCCCCUAGCCGACGACGAGUAUGGGCCUUGAGAGAGGGAGCCCAGAGUUGGAUUCUGAGACACGAAUCCAGGCCCUACGGGGCGCAGCAGUCGCGAAAACUUCACACUGGGGGCAACCCCGAUGAGGGAAUUCCUAGUGCCAGGGCCUCUGGUCCUGGCUUUUCUCCGGCGUAGACGACCGGAGGAAUAAGGGCUGGGUAAGACGGGUGCCAGCCGCCGCGGUAAUACCUGCAGCCCGAGUGGUGGUCGAUUUUAUUGAGUCUAAAACGUUCGUAGCCGGCCCGGUAAAUCCCUGGGUAAAUCGGGAAGCUCAACUUCCCGAAUUCCGGGGAGACUGCCGGGCUUGGGACCGGGAGAGGCUAGAGGUACUUCUGGGGUAGGGGUAAAAUCCUGUAAUCCUGGAAGGACCACCGGUGGCGAAGGCGUCUAGCUAGAACGGAUCCGACGGUGAGGGACGAGGCCCUGGGUCGCAAACGGGAUUAGAUACCCCGGUAGUCCAGGGUGUAAACGCUGCAGACUUGGUGUUGGGGGCCCUUCGGGGGCGUCCAGUGCCGGAGAGAAGUUGUUAAGUCUGCUACUUGGGGAGUACGUCCGCAAGGAUGAAACUUAAAGGAAUUGGCGGGGGAGCAC
RNAcentral lists this ribosomal RNA (790 nucleotides) under uncultured archaeon. RNAcentral's name for it is "bacterial SSU rRNA". It matches the Rfam family "Archaeal small subunit ribosomal RNA", at positions 88 to 879 of the family's 1478-position model. The record is from RNAcentral.